GUGGCAUUUUAAAGUACACUUUUAACUGGCAUAUUCUACAAAUAUUCUUAAGAUCGACAGGUUCCGAGGCAUCUUAAAGUACACUUUUAACUGGUUUGUAAUCUACAAAUAUUCUUAUGAUCAAUAUUGAAUAAGUUCUGUGGCAUCUUAAAGUACACUUUUAACAGGCAUAUUCUACAAAUAUUCUAAGGAUCGACACAGGUACUGUGGCAUCUUAAAGUCAUUUUUCACUGAUUUAACAGGUACAUGACAUACUUAAAGCCUCCGACAGAUAUAAAUUCUAAUAAUUCCCAAGACACUCCACCUACUACUUCCAGUUUGUCUGUAAGGUGAUAUUAUGUAUUGAAUUAAACAGCCAAUAUCAAUAGUUAAUUCUAAAAGUUCAAUGGUUUC
Molecule: long non-coding RNA, 393 nt
Filed under: Mytilus galloprovincialis (Mediterranean mussel)
Lineage: Eukaryota; Metazoa; Mollusca; Bivalvia; Mytilida; Mytilidae
Source: RNAcentral